GCUGCCGCCCCCGGCGUCCGCCGCCCCUCGGGCCGGGCCGGCAAGCUGUGCUCCGCUCACACCCAGUUUGUUCGCUCGGCUCGAGCUGCGGCGACCGCACUCGUCCGCACGUCUUGGGUGGACGGCACUAAUGUGACAGCGAGUUUCGACGAGGUCCACUGAGCCUCAUCAGUGCGCGAGAGCGUGUGGUUCGCCGUCUCACCUCUGAAGAUGUCUCCCGCAGUCGAAGAUGAAAAAUUAAGAAAAAGUGUUGUACAUCGACCAUGGUCUAUCAGCCCGGAAGUUUCAAGUGAAGUCAGUACCGGCCGUGAAAGCCUACACUGUGUAAUCAAGACUUCGCAGAUUCAGCACAGUGGAAAGCAACUGAUGACUUUCAUUGCAGUGACCACUUCGCACUGUGGAUUCACCUACUGUAUGGAGGAUUUCUUGAACAGAAGGCACAGAAAUGGAUGGUCAGCAGGGCUAACAGGACGCUGUUCAUCAAGCUGGCUGUGUCUGAGCAUCGCGACAGCGUCCAGGAAUGGAUGGACCACACCACAUGAGUGAUUUAUCUACAUCUACAUCUACAUGGUUACUCUGCAAUUCACACUUAAGUGCCUGGCAGAGGGCUCAUCGAACCAUUUUCAUACUACUUCUCUACCAUUCCACUCUCGAAUGGCGCGUGC
Molecule: long non-coding RNA, 665 nt
Organism: Schistocerca nitens (vagrant locust)
Lineage: Eukaryota; Metazoa; Arthropoda; Insecta; Orthoptera; Acrididae
Exons: 3
Source: RefSeq, a predicted model, not a curated record